CAUAGCCCCGGGUUUGGCCGCCCCAGCCCCGCCUUCCCCGCCCCGGGGAGCCCGCCCCCUGCCCCGCGUCCCUGCCGACAGAGUUAGCACGACAUCAGUAUGAGCUGGUCACCUUCCCUGACAACGCAGACAUGUGGGGCCUGGGAAAUGAAAGAGCGCCUUGGGACAGGGGGAUUUGGAAAUGUCAUCCGAUGGCACAAUCAGGCUGACCCACCCCAAUGUGGUGGCUGCCCGAGAUGUCCCUGAGGGGAUGCAGAACUUGGCGCCCAAUGACCUGCCCCUGCUGGCCAUGGAGUACUGCCAAGGAGGAGAUCUCCGGAAGUACCUGAACCAGUUUGAGAACUGCUGUGGUCUGCGGGAAGGUGCCAUCCUCACCUUGCUGAGUGACAUUGCCUCUGCGCUUAGAUACCUUCAUGAAAACAGAAUCAUCCAUCGGGAUCUAAAGCCAGAAAACAUCGUCCUGCAGCAAGGAGAACAGAGGUUAAUACACAAAAUUAUUGACCUAGGAUAUGCCAAGGAGCUGGAUCAGGGCAGUCUUUGCACAUCAUUCGUGGGGACCCUGCAGUACCUGGCCCCAGAGCUACUGGAGCAGCAGAAGUACACAGUGACCGUCGACUACUGGAGCUUCGGCACCCUGGCCUUUGAGUGCAUCACGGGCUUCCGGCCCUUCCUCCCCAACUGGCAGCCUGUGCAGUGGCAUUCGAAAGUGCGGCAGAAGAGUGAGGUGGACAUUGUUGUUAGCGAAGACUUGAAUGGAACGGUGAAGUUUUCAAGCUCUUUACCCUACCCCAAUAAUCUUAACAGUGUCCUGGCUGAGCGACUGGAGAAGUGGCUGCAACUGAUGCUGAUGUGGCACCCCCGACAGAGGGGCACGGAUCCCACGUAUGGGCCCAACGGCUGCUUCAAGGCCCUGGAUGACAUCUUAAACUUAAAGCUGGUUCAUAUCUUGAACAUGGUCACGGGCACCAUCCACACCUACCCUGUGACAGAGGAUGAGAGUCUGCAGAGCUUGAAGGCCAGAAUCCAGCAGGACACGGGCAUCCCAGAGGAGGACCAGGAGCUGCUGCAGGAAGCGGGCCUGGCGUUGAUCCCCGAUAAGCCUGCCACUCAGUGUAUUUCAGACGGCAAGUUAAAUGAGGGCCACACAUUGGACAUGGAUCUUGUUUUUCUCUUUGACAACAGUAAAAUCACCUAUGAGACUCAGAUCUCCCCACGGCCCCAACCUGAAAGUGUCAGCUGUAUCCUUCAAGAGCCCAAGAGGAAUCUCGCCUUCUUCCAGCUGAGGAAGGUGUGGGGCCAGGUCUGGCACAGCAUCCAGACCCUGAAGGAAGAUUGCAACCGGCUGCAGCAGGGACAGCGAGCCGCCAUGAUGAAUCUCCUCCGAAACAACAGCUGCCUCUCCAAAAUGAAGAAUUCCAUGGCUUCCAUGUCUCAGCAGCUCAAGGCCAAGUUGGAUUUCUUCAAAACCAGCAUCCAGAUUGACCUGGAGAAGUACAGUGAGCAAACCGAGUUUGGGAUCAGUGAGUGUGCACUUUGCAAUGAGUUUAAAGACACCAUUUUUUUUUCUUUUUCUCUUUCUAAGGUUUCUUUUGUCCUAUUAUAAUUGAGUUCUUAUUUCUGUUUCAGUUUUGUGGUGUUUUUAUUUUGUUUUGUUUUGUUUUUCCUUCUCAAUUUUUUUUCAGCAUCAGAUAAACUGCUGCUGGCCUGGAGGGAAAUGGAGCAGGCUGUGGAGCUCUGUGGGCGGGUAGGAGACUCAUUUUGGGUUUCGGAACUUACCAAGGGGGUGAGGUUUUGUGCUCCCACUUUUCACUUUCUCAUCAAACACUGGGUCGAUCUCUGUCAAAAAUCAGGUGUUCCUCACCAUGCUUUGAGCUUAACUGGACCAGCUGAAAAGAGGCCAAGAGAGUAGCCAGUGAAGGGAGCCCCUCUGUGGCCAGAUGCAAGAGCUGCAUGAAUGGACAGAGAUGGUCCAGGUUUAAAUAAGAAGCAAGGGUUAGGUUCCCUUGGGGAAAAGCCAAGACCAUUUCCUGUUAGGAAGGGCAUUGGAUGGAUGAUCAACACUCCCUCUUGUCGAAGGUUUUUGACUAAUUUUGUUGGGAUGCUAAAUCCAUAGGAAAUAAAAGGUCUAGGCAGAAAGUCUCAGGGCAGCGUAAAUCAGAUGUCACCAAAAAAAGUUAAUUAUGAAGGCAAAGGAAAUACGUGUGACUUAAUGAACCUCACACAAACUGAAGGUUGAAGUCAGGCUCCGGGGCUUUUUCCUGGACUUAUCCUCUGUUUUCCCCUGUGUACUUGGGCAAGGAUCUUCACCUGUGUCUUAGUAUCGAUUUUUAUGAAUCAGUACUGAUGGAGUAUAUGUGUGUUUAAUGGUGAAUAUUAACCAUAGAAGGGCUGAGUGCUCCUCCCCAUCUUGGGACUCAUAAUCUGUGAAAUAAAACAGUCUGGGCCUCCCUGCCCGGGUAGCAUCAGGAUAGACAGAUGAAGAGAAGAGAAAGUAAUGUGUCUUGGGCAUCUUCUGUAUGCCAGGCACCAUGCCAGAGGCUUUAAGUACUUCAUCUUACUUGACUCCUCAGAUGGCCCUGUUAGAAGCCUAUUUUAUGCAAAAGGAAACUGUAGCUGGGGGUAAGUAACUUGCCAGGGGGUCACACAGCUAGAAAGCGGUGGACCCUAGAUGCAGGCGCAGCCAUUCAGACCCCACAGUCCACAUUCCUUUGAGCCAGUCCAUUGAGGGUCCUCAGGGAAUGUGGCGGGUCCCCUGGUCUCGCUCCCCCGCAGAUCUUGCAUCUCAGCAUGCGCCUACCACAUCAGUUGACAUUAGCACAGCUUUUCCAUUAGGAGAACGAAGUGAAACUCCUGGUAGAACGGAUGAUGGCUCUGCAGACCGACAUUGUGGACUUACAGAGGAGCCCCAUGGGCCGGAAGCAGGGGGGAACGCUGGACGACCUAGAGGAGCAAGCAAGGGAGCUGUACAGGAGACUAAGGGAAAAACCUCGAGACCAGCGAACUGAGGGUGACAGUCAGGAAAUGGUACGGCUGCUGCUUCAGGCAAUUCAGAGCUUCGAGAAGAAAGUGCGAGUGAUCUAUACGCAGCUCAGUAAAACUGUGAUUUGCAAGCAGAAGGCGCUGGAACUGUUGCCCAAGGUGGAAGAGGUGGUGAGCUUAAUGAAUGAGGAUGAGAAGACUGUUGUCCGGCUGCAGGAGAAGCGGCAGAAGGAGCUCUGGAAUCUCCUGAAGAUUGCUUGUAGCAAGGUCCGUGGUCCUGUCAGUGGAAGUCCGGAUAGCAUGAAUGCCUCUCGACUUAGCCAGCCUGGGCAGCUGAUGUCUCAGCCCUCCACGGCCUCCAACAGCUUACCUGAGCCAGCCAAAAAGAGUGAAGAACUGGUGGCUGAAGCACAUAACCUGUGCACCCUGCUAGAAAAUGCCAUACAGGACACCGUGAGGGAACAAGACCAGAGUUUCACGGCCCUAGACUGGAGCUGGUUACAGAUGGAAGAAGAAGAGCACAGCUGCCUGGAGCAGGCCUCAUGAUGUGGGGGGACUCGACCCCCUGACAUGGGGCAGCCCAUAGCAGGCCUUGUGCAGUGGGGGGACUCAACCCCCUGACAUGGGGCUGCCUGGAGCAGGCCGCGUGACGUGGGGCUGCCUGGCCGCGGCUCUCACAUGGUAGUUCCUGCUGCACUGAUGGCCCAGCGGUCUCUGGUAUCCAGAUGGAGCUCUCGCUUCCUCAGCAGCUGUGACUUUCACCCAGGACCCAGGACGCAGCCCUCCGUGGGCACUGCCGGCGCCUUGUCUGCACACUGGAGGUCCUCCAUUACAGAGGCCCAGCGCACAUCGCUGGCCCCACGAGCGUUCAGGGGUACAGCCACGGCAGCUCCUUCCUCUGCCGUGAGAAAAGUGCUUGGAGUACGGUUUGCCACACACGUGACUGGACAGUGUCCAAUUCAAAUCUUUCAGGGCAGAGUCCGAGCAGCGCUUGGUGACAGCCUGUCCUCUCCUGCUCUCCAAAGGCCCUGCUCCCUGUCCUCUCUCACUUUACAGCUUGUGUUUCUUCUGGAUUCAGCUUCUCCUAAACAGACAGUUUAAUUAUAGUUGCGGCCUGGCCCCAUCCUCACUUCCUCUUUUUAUUUCACUGCUGCUAAAAUUGUGUUUUUACCUACUACUUUGGUGGUUGUCCUCUUUUCGGCAAAGUUGGAGCGAGUGCCAAGCUCUCCAUCUGUGGUCCUUUCUGCCAAGAGCGACUCAUAGUAACCAGGAUGGGAGAGCAGCUGCCUUAUUCUGAAUCCCAAAAAUUACUUGGGGGUGAUUGUCACAGAGGAGGGACAGAAAGGGUAUCUGCUGACCACCAGCCUGCCUACCCAUGCCCAUGUCGCCAUUCCUGCUCAAGCGUGUGUGCUGGGCCGGGGAGUCCCUGUCUCUCACAGCAUCUAGCAGUAUUAUUAAAUGGACUCAUUUUUAAAAUAGCUCCUAUAUUUUGUAACAUGUCUCAAACACUCAUACUGGGUUCCACAAUCCACUGUUAGAAUACCUAUGGUUAGGGCUUCUGAACUAAAAUAAUGGAAAAUUUUAACAAUUUGUAUAGUGCCUGGAUCAUUACUAGUGCCAUAACCCUGCUUCUUCAACAUUUCACAGAACUUCUCUUUUAUAUAAAGGCAAGAGCACAAAAUGAGUUCAGAUGAUCACAAACAGGUGAGUUUUGUUGGAGAAGAAAGUUGGAGUAGGAGACUUUCACAAGUGGUUUCCAUGGAGAUAGAAUGAAGCAUUCUGUGGUCAAGUAAGUUUAGGGAGCUAUUCAUGUUUCACUUGCUUUGUGGAGAUUCACACUAUGCACUGGGAAAGUAUCUGAAAAGUCUUAUAAUAAAGAAACAGGCUUAACUUUGUAUAAGAACACUGUUUAUCAAUGUCAUUUGGCUAUAGAAACAUUUUCUCCUGCUGAUUGUGUGUGUGAAACAUGUAUUAACAUUCCAAUGAACUAGCAUUUAAUAAAGCACAAUUUUGGAAACCCUG
This 5001-nucleotide small RNA is filed under the name Pan troglodytes (chimpanzee). RNAcentral's name for it is "retained intron". The record is from RNAcentral. Lineage: Eukaryota; Metazoa; Chordata; Mammalia; Primates; Hominidae.